UACGUAGGGGGUCAGCGUUGUUCGGAAUUACUGGGCGUAAAGAGUGUGUAGGCGGUGCUCUAAGUCUGUUGUGAAAUCUCCCGGCUUAACUGGGAGGGUGCGGCGGAAACUGGAGUGCUAGAGGAUGGGAGAGGUAAGCGGAAUUCCUGGUGUAGCGGUGAAAUGCGUAGAUAUCAGGAGGAACACCUGUGGUGUAGACAGCUUACUGGACCAUAUCUGACGCUGAGACACGAAAGCGUGGGUAGCAAACAGG
This 253-nucleotide ribosomal RNA is filed under the name uncultured bacterium. Its description in RNAcentral is "partial 16S ribosomal RNA". It matches the Rfam family "Bacterial small subunit ribosomal RNA", at positions 524 to 776 of the family's 1533-position model. The record is from RNAcentral.